Molecule: long non-coding RNA, 352 nt
Filed under: Selaginella moellendorffii
Lineage: Eukaryota; Viridiplantae; Streptophyta; Lycopodiopsida; Selaginellales; Selaginellaceae
Description: long non-coding RNA (SMOE_LNC000996)
Source: RNAcentral
CGGGUUUAAGAAUUUUUGGAAGCUGUCGUGUUCGAGGACAGGGACAGCGCAAGGAGGACGUUUGUGGAGCUCACGCAAAACCAUCCAUGGGUAAUAAAUCUAUCUAUCUAUCUAUCGAUCUAUAUCCAGGUCUAUGCAGCAAGCAAAUCAUGCGAGAUCGAGCACGCAUUCAUUCAUCCAAUCGAAGUUUUAAGUUUAAAGCGAGCUUCUUUCCGUGAGUCAAUUCCUCUCACUCUCUCACUCUUCUUCGUGGGGAUUACUUUCACUCGCAGCAUAGAUUUGGAGAGCCACAGGACACAAGCGAAGAGCAAGAAAACCAAGGAAAGUAUUAUAACGUACCGGUACUCAGUCG